UAGCCAAGUGGAUUAAGGCAGUGGAU
RNAcentral lists this transfer RNA (26 nucleotides) under Mesoptychia badensis. RNAcentral describes it as "partial tRNA-His". Lineage: Eukaryota; Viridiplantae; Streptophyta; Jungermanniopsida; Jungermanniales; Jungermanniaceae. The record is from RNAcentral. RNAcentral also lists the same sequence under 1 other name.